RNAcentral lists this long non-coding RNA (568 nucleotides) under Heterocephalus glaber (naked mole-rat). Its description in RNAcentral is "lncRNA (ENSHGLG00000041247.1)". The record is from RNAcentral. Lineage: Eukaryota; Metazoa; Chordata; Mammalia; Rodentia; Bathyergidae.
CCUCUAGCCAAACAAUCAGCAAAUAAAGGUAACUUUAAAGAGUGUUAAGCCCAACUUUAUGACUUUCACAGGCACCAAGGGCAUGGUCUCAGAGGCCUAAGCUACCACAUAGCAUAGCCCAGGACUGCUUGUUGGUUGAUCUGCUGGGACCAACUGUGACUCAUCUAUUUACUACAGAGCAAAGAAACAUGCAAUUCCAAAGGCCUGCCAGCCACACCAAAGAGCUUCUCCCAAGGCAUGAACCAGGAGAGGAAGCUGCAGAGUGGGAGGAGAGUGAUGUUUUGAACCAGAAAACAAGAGUCAAAUGAGGCUAACAAUGCAUAAAGCUUGGGUACAGCAUAAAGUGUAUUUCCCCUUUGUUUAAUCACUAAUGAAAUGCUUCUGAACAUGGAAUACCUCAAAAAACAAGACAUAGAAUAUAAAAAAGGAGAAAGAGGAAAAUGAAAAGAAAGUGAAGAAUCCCUUAAUACUCUACAUAAGGAAAAAUAAAAAGUUGGCUGUUUGUACAUUUGCAAAAGCAUAAUGAUUAUGUGUCCUGAAGGAAUUUUACAGAACAUUUAAUAUAUGG